GCCACGCCCCUUUCCGCCAUGACAGUAGGCUAGACACAGGAUACAGCUUCAGCUAUGGUUCGUACGUGUUGUGUUAUCAGUUGCAACGUUUGAUCACACGAUCGUGAAGGCAAGAAGCCGGAUAAUGGGCUCUCUUUUCAUCGUUUUUCAACCUGGAGGCAAUGUGAAGGAUCCCAUGUAUCCGAUAUUACUAAACAAAGACGUCAGGCUUGCAUUGCAGCGGUGAGACGAGCGGAUCGAGUUCUGUGCAAUCCCCAGCUUUUUGUUGGUUUGGUCUCCGCAUCUUCUUUCCGUCAGCGCAUACACAGCAAACCAGUUUAAGAAUUAUAAAUCCCUGGAGGCCCACAUCCAAUUCACGAAUGGCUGGGUGCAAGAUUUGUCCAUCUUUAUGCCUCCACGCUGCGAC
Molecule: long non-coding RNA, 406 nt
Organism: Oreochromis aureus
Lineage: Eukaryota; Metazoa; Chordata; Actinopteri; Cichliformes; Cichlidae
Source: Ensembl